GGUUAAGUGACUAAGCGUACACGGUGGAUGCCUUGGCAGUCAGAGGCGAUGAAAGACGUAGUAACUUGCGAUAAGCCCAGAUUAGGUAGUAACAACCAUUUGAGUCUGGGAUUUCUGAAUGGGGAAACCCACGUGCAUAAGCACGUAUCCUUACCUGAAUACAUAGGGUAAGGAGGCGAACCGGGGGAACUGAAACAUCUAAGUACCCCGAGGAAAAGAAAUCAACCGAGAUUCCGAAAGUAGCGGCGAGCGAAAUUGGACUAGCCCUUAAGCUUUACACGCGUUAGACGAACGGUCUGGAAAGUCCGACGAUACAGGGUGAUAGUCCCGUAGUUGACGACGUGUGUUCAGUGAAAUCGAGUAGGGCGGGACACGUGAUAUCCUGUCUGAAUAUGGGGGGACCAUCCUCCAAGGCUAAAUACUACUGACUGACCGAUAGUGAACCAGUACCGUGAGGGAAAGGCGAAAAGAACCCCUGUGAGGGGAGUGAAAUAGAACCUGAAACCGUGUACGUACAAGCAGUAGGAGCAGGCUUUGUCCUGUGACUGCGUACCUUUUGUAUAAUGGGUCAGCGACUUAUAUUCAGUGGCAAGGUUAACCAUCUAGGGGAGCCGUAGGGAAACCGAGUCUUAACUGGGCGUUCAGUCUCUGGAUAUAGACCCGAAACCAGGUGAUCUAGCCAUGGGCAGGUUGAAGGUUGAGUAACAUCAACUGGAGGACCGAACCGACUAAUGUUGAAAAAUUAGCGGAUGACUUGUGGCUAGGGGUGAAAGGCCAAUCAAACCUGGAGAUAGCUGGUUCUCCCCGAAAGCUAUUUAGGUAGCGCCUCGGACGAAUACUACUGGGGGUAGAGCACUGUUAAGGCUAGGGGGUCAUCCCGACUUACCAACCCUUUGCAAACUCCGAAUACCAGUAAGUACUAUCCGGGAGACACACGGCGGGUGCUAACGUCCGUCGUGGAGAGGGAAACAACCCAGACCGCCAGCUAAGGUCCCAAAUUACUACUAAGUGGGAAACGAUGUGGGAAGGCUCAGACAGCCAGGAUGUUGGCUUAGAAGCAGCCAUCAUUUAAAGAAAGCGUAAUAGCUCACUGGUCGAGUCGGCCUGCGCGGAAGAUGUAACGGGGCUAAGUAGUAAACCGAAGCUGCGGCAAUGUGCUUUUGCACAUUGGGUAGGGGAGCGUUCUGUAAGCGGUUGAAGGUGUGUGGUAACGCAUGCUGGACGUAUCAGAAGUGCGAAUGCUGACAUGAGUAACGAUAAAGGGGGUGAAAAACCUCCUCGCCGGAAGACCAAGGGUUCCUGUCCAACGUUAAUCGGGGCAGGGUAAGUCGACCCCUAAGGCGAGGCCGAAAGGCGUAGUCGAUGGGAAACGGGUUAAUAUUCCCGUACUUCUUACAAUUGCGAUGGGGGGACGGAGAAGGCUAGGUGGGCCUGGCGACGGUUGUCCAGGUUCAAGUGCGUAGGCUUAAGAGUUAGGUAAAUCCGGCUCUUUUUAAGGCUGAGACACGACGUCGAGCACCUAUGGGUGUGAAGUCAUUGAUGCCAUGCUUCCAGGAAAAGCCUCUAAGCUUCAGAUUGUAAGGAAUCGUACCCCAAACCGACACAGGUGGUCGGGUAGAGAAUACCAAGGCGCUUGAGAGAACUCGGGUGAAGGAACUAGGCAAAAUGGUACCGUAACUUCGGGAGAAGGUACGCUCUCGACGGUGAAGUCCCUUGCGGAUGGAGCUAUUGAGAGUCGCAGAUACCAGGUGGCUGCAACUGUUUAUUAAAAACACAGCACUGUGCAAAAUCGUAAGAUGACGUAUACGGUGUGACGCCUGCCCGGUGCCGGAAGGUUAAUUGAUGGGGUUAGACUUCGGUCGAAGCUCUUGAUCGAAGCCCCGGUAAACGGCGGCCGUAACUAUAACGGUCCUAAGGUAGCGAAAUUCCUUGUCGGGUAAGUUCCGACCUGCACGAAUGGCGUAAUGAUGGCCACGCUGUCUCCACCCGAGACUCAGUGAAAUUGAAAUCGCUGUGAAGAUGCAGUGUACCCGCGGCUAGACGGAAAGACCCCGUGAACCUUUACUACAGCUUGGCACUGAACAUUGACCCUACAUGUGUAGGAUAGGUGGGAGGCUUUGAAGCACGUACGCCAGUAUGUGUGGAGCCGUCCUUGAAAUACCACCCUUGUAGUGUUGAUGUUCUAACGUCGACCCCUAAUCGGGGUUGCGGACAGUGCCUGGUGGGUAGUUUGACUGGGGCGGUCUCCUCCCAAAGAGUAACGGAGGAGCACGAAGGUGGGCUAAUCACGGUUGGACAUCGUGAGGUUAGUGCAAUGGCAUAAGCCCGCUUGACUGCGAGAAUGACAAUUCGAGCAGGUGCGAAAGCAGGUCAUAGUGAUCCGGUGGUUCUGAAUGGAAGGGCCAUCGCUCAACGGAUAAAAGGUACUCCGGGGAUAACAGGCUGAUACCGCCCAAGAGUUCAUAUCGACGGCGGUGUUUGGCACCUCGAUGUCGGCUCAUCACAUCCUGGGGCUGAAGUCGGUCCCAAGGGUAUGGCUGUUCGCCAUUUAAAGUGGUACGCGAGCUGGGUUUAGAACGUCGUGAGACAGUUCGGUCCCUAUCUGCCGUGGGCGUUGGAAGAUUGAAGGGGGCUGCUCCUAGUACGAGAGGACCGGAGUGGACGAACCUCUGGUGUUCGGGUUGUGUCGCCAGACGCAUUGCCCGGUAGCUAAGUUCGGAAUCGAUAACCGCUGAAAGCAUCUAAGCGGGAAGCGAGCCCUGAGAUGAGUCUUCCCUGAUACUUUAAGUAUCCUAAAGGGUUGUCGGAGACUACGACGUUGAUAGGUCAGGUGUGUAAGUGCUGUGAGGCAUUGAGCUAACUGAUACUAAUUGCCCGUGAGGCUUAACCAU
RNAcentral lists this ribosomal RNA (2891 nucleotides) under Vibrio parahaemolyticus. RNAcentral's name for it is "LSU rRNA". It matches the Rfam family "Bacterial large subunit ribosomal RNA". The record is from RNAcentral. Lineage: Bacteria; Pseudomonadati; Pseudomonadota; Gammaproteobacteria; Vibrionales; Vibrionaceae.